ACAAGGAAGAGUUUCACAAUUCUAUUUCAAAGAACUCACCAGAAGGUUGGCAGUCAAAAUUCGAUAGAAUUGGAAACUCUCGUAUGAAGUGCAAAUUAUGUAAUAAAGAAAUAGUUUUAUAUAAACAGCAAUUUUACACAAAACACUUAUUUCGAAGACACAAUUUAACAGAGAAAGAACACAACUUGGUGACUAAAUAUUUUAAGAAAUUGAAUUGGCAGAAACGACAAUGUACAAAGUGUAAUACGGUUAUUGAAAAUUGUAAUUUUUUGGUCUUCGUGGAACAUUUCAACCAGUGUUUGGAUGACAAUAGAUCUUUAGACCUCAGAAUAACGAAAUAAAGGAAAAAGCGUCAUACACUAUCUGUAAUACGUAGCGAACAUCAUGGCACACUCAUCACAGAGUACCUGGCAAUGGGCAUUGGAAUAUUUUACACAAAUAGAUGCUGAACGUGCAAAAUGCAAUAUAUGUGCUGGAGAACUUACUAUUUUUACGUUUCAAUUACACAAUGCAAAGGACCAUUUAAUGAGGUAUCACAAGGAAGAGUGUUACAAUUCUAUUUCAAAGAACUCACCAGAAGGUUGGCAGUCAAAAUUCGAUAGAAUUGGAAACUCUCGUAUGAAGUGCAAAUUAUGUAAUCAAGAAAUAGCUUUAUAUAAACAGCAACUUUACACAAAACACUUAUUUCCAAGACACAAUUUAAGAGAGGAAGAACACAACUUGGUGACUAAAUAUUUUAAGAAAUUGAAUUGGCAGAAACGACAAUGUACAAAGUGUAAUACGGUUAUUGAAAAUUCUAAUUUUAUUGUCUUCGUGGAACAUUUUAACCAGUGUUUGGAUGACAAUAGACCUUUAGACCUCAGAAUAACGAAAUAAAGGAAAAAGCGAUCAUUCAGUAAUUCAAGAAGUUCAAGUUUUAAAAGAGAUGCUGAAAACGUUACUACAGCAAUCAGUAGCAGCAAAAGAUGUUGUAAAAAACAUUUUGAUCACUUAAUAAUUUACAUAAUUAAGAAGAAAAGGAACCAAACAUAUAUAUUCCUGAUGACGAAUCAUUUGUUUUUGCCAUUUUGAUGUGUGACUUUAACUAAAUUUACUUUAAAUUUUUUCUUAU
Nylanderia fulva is the source of this 1111-nucleotide non-coding RNA. Lineage: Eukaryota; Metazoa; Arthropoda; Insecta; Hymenoptera; Formicidae. The record is from RefSeq and is a predicted model, not a curated record.